Molecule: small RNA, 52 nt
Filed under: Caenorhabditis elegans
Lineage: Eukaryota; Metazoa; Nematoda; Chromadorea; Rhabditida; Rhabditidae
Description: Unclassified non-coding RNA Y22D7AR.16
Source: RNAcentral
CUCAGGCUUAGGCUUAGGCUCGGACUUAGGCUCAGGCUUAGGCUUGGGCUUA